RNAcentral lists this ribosomal RNA (138 nucleotides) under Cronobacter sakazakii E899. RNAcentral's name for it is "partial 16S ribosomal RNA". It matches the Rfam family "Bacterial small subunit ribosomal RNA", at positions 1399 to 1533 of the family's 1533-position model. Lineage: Bacteria; Pseudomonadati; Pseudomonadota; Gammaproteobacteria; Enterobacterales; Enterobacteriaceae. The record is from RNAcentral.
ACACCAUGGGAGUGGGUUGCAAAAGAAGUAGGUAGCUUAACCUUCGGGAGGGCGCUUACCACUUUGUGAUUCAUGACUGGGGUGAAGUCGUAACAAGGUAACCGUAGGGGAACCUGCGGUUGGAUCACCUCCUUACCU